UACGUAGGGUGCAAGCGUUUGUCCGGAAUUAUUGGGCGUAAAGAGCUCGUAGGCGGUUCGUCACGUCGGCUGUGAAAUCCCGAGGCUCAACCUCGGGUCUGCAGUCGAUACGGGCGGACUGGAGUACUGCAGGGGAGACUGGAAUUCCUGGUGUAGCGGUGAAAUGCGUUGAUAUUAUGGGGAACACCAAAAGCGAAGGCAGCAGACUGGAGCACUCCUGACACUGAAACAAGAAAGCGUGGGUAGCGAAUGGG
Molecule: ribosomal RNA, 254 nt
Filed under: uncultured bacterium
Lineage: Bacteria
Description: partial 16S ribosomal RNA
Rfam family: Bacterial small subunit ribosomal RNA
Source: RNAcentral